Molecule: long non-coding RNA, 702 nt
Filed under: Chinchilla lanigera (long-tailed chinchilla)
Lineage: Eukaryota; Metazoa; Chordata; Mammalia; Rodentia; Chinchillidae
Description: lncRNA (ENSCLAG00000028573.1)
Source: RNAcentral
ACACUACUCAUAUGACUGCUGCUGUCCAUUACAGGAAACCAAACACAACUUUAUUCACAAAAAGCAGGUACCCAGCUCCGCCUUGUAAUCCAGACCCAGGCAAAUGUGUAGACUUGGCACUAACCAAUAGUGGCUAAAUAGCAUCACCUGAGGCAGUCUGACCAAUCAAGACUCAGGAAGAACCUCAAAGCCACAGAGUCAGGUUGGUUUCUACCAAGUCGUAAAGUCUAAUCUCUGUUUCUAUGGUUCUGUUUUAUUUCUUUAGUAUAUAUUAAGAGUCACUAACAUAGAGGAAGGAUCAGGUAAGUAAACCGCAGGAAAGAGGCUUCACAGGAGACAUGAAAUGUAAGCAUGAGGUCGCUACUUGCAAAAGUAAAGGUCAGAGAGAGCAGCUUAUGUAGUUAUUUGUUCCAUUUCUGGAUUCCUGACUAGUCUAUAAACCUCAGGAGGGUACAGAUGCAUCCAGUUUAUUCUCUCACAGAGCUUUUAGCAAUCAGUGUGGUACCUGGCAUAGUAAGUGUUCAAGAAAUACUGAACGAAUGAAUAAAAUGUACAAAGUGUGUGGAGAAAUUUAAGUACAUGAAGAGAAUUUGAGGAACUGGGAAAAGACUGGAGAGAUAUAGGUUAAAGAAUUUGCAGGAACCAGAUAACAGAGGAUCUUGGCAGAGACACUAUGAAUCUUGAACAUUAUCAAUGCAAUGG